Long non-coding RNA from Myotis brandtii (Brandt's bat), 923 nucleotides. RefSeq lists it as uncharacterized. NCBI's taxonomy places the organism in Eukaryota, Metazoa, Chordata, Mammalia, Chiroptera, Vespertilionidae. The transcript is spliced from 2 exons. The record is from RefSeq and is a predicted model, not a curated record.
UCUCCCCCGCCUUCUCCUUCUCCCAAUGAGCCCAACUGGGCGCUGGGAGCUGCCGCCGCUCUGCCCGCUGCCUGACUCUGUCCGCCCCGCCAUUGGCUUGAAAUCCACAGGAUUUCAGCCCAUGGCUUUCCCCUGCGACCUGCCUUGUUUAUUUAGAUAGAGAAGAUGAAAGAUGCUGGAUAGAAGGAUGGGAACAAUUAGAGAACUGAAGAGUGAGGACGCCCGUUUGGGGACCGGUUCGGUAUUGUACCCAGACCACACAUUCCGGCUGGGAAGGAACACAGUAAUGUAUAAAGCAUUAGUGGAUUGAACACUCCGCGCUGUGUUUGGGGAAUCGAAUUGUUGAUGUUUCUGGCAAAAAACUCAUACUCCGAUUGAAAUCUAUCAAACACCUUAAUUAGCUCUGGGUACCUAAGCGUGCCCAACCCAGAGGCAGGUUGCAAGGCAUGAGAGGGGACGGGCAGGGGCUGCACAGAGAUGCCAGGGCCUCCCUCGCCCCCCCACCCCUGGCCCACGACCUCAGUUUCCGGACCAGGACGCCUGGGCCGUGGUGGGAAGUCGGUCCACCCUGGCUCUCGCCCUGGCAACCGCAGGGAUGUGAUGGAGGGUGUUUGGAUGGCUUGCAGGAUGUUGGCGAACCGGAUGGGAAGAGAGCACAGUGACACAAAGCUGUUGCCGACGGUAACUGGAGUCUUUUCCUCAGCCAACCAUUCCACCUGGACCUCAGUACAAAUUAUUGUUUUCAAUUACCACCUGUGUAUUCCUUCCCAUGCAACUUAUUGAUGUAAAAUUACAGCUAUACCGGUAUAAAUAAGUUAUGCUGCAGUUGUAAAAUGGAAGAAAUUUUGUUGUAGCAAUUAUGUUCAGCAAGAUGACAAAAUAAAUUUCCAGAGCUGUGCCUGCAGUAACCUGGGGAAUUUAAA